This 29-nucleotide non-coding RNA is filed under the name Mus musculus (house mouse). The record is from RNAcentral. Lineage: Eukaryota; Metazoa; Chordata; Mammalia; Rodentia; Muridae.
UNGUGGUCACUGUACACGUGGGGCUCGGC